Molecule: ribosomal RNA, 467 nt
Filed under: uncultured bacterium
Lineage: Bacteria
Description: partial 16S ribosomal RNA
Rfam family: Bacterial small subunit ribosomal RNA
Source: RNAcentral
GACGAACGCUGGCGGCGUGCUUAACACAUGCAAGUCGAACGGAAAGGCCCUGCUUUUGUGGGGUGCUCGAGUGGCGAACGGGUGAGUAACACGUGAGUAACCUGCCCUUGACUUUGGGAUAACUUCGGGAAACUGGGGCUAAUACCGGAUAGGAGCUCCUGCUGCAUGGUGGGGGUUGGAAAGUUUCGGCGGUUGGGGAUGGACUCGCGGCUUAUCAGCUUGUUGGUGGGGUAGUGGCUUACCAAGGCUUUGACGGGUAGCCGGCCUGAGAGGGUGACCGGCCACAUUGGGACUGAGAUACGGCCCAGACUCCUACGGGAGGCAGCAGUGGGGAAUAUUGCACAAUGGGCGGAAGCCUGAUGCAGCAACGCCGCGUGCGGGAUGACGGCCUUCGGGUUGUAAACCGCUUUCGCGUGUGACGAAGCGUGAGUGACGGUAAUGGGUAAAGAAGCACCGGCUACUACGUG